This is a long non-coding RNA of Gossypium arboreum, 1017 nucleotides long. RefSeq lists it as uncharacterized. Lineage: Eukaryota; Viridiplantae; Streptophyta; Magnoliopsida; Malvales; Malvaceae. The transcript is spliced from 3 exons. The record is from RefSeq and is a predicted model, not a curated record.
AAUACCAGUCGACAGCAACAACUGCCCUUUUAAAGUCACGUCUUGUCAUCUGAACCGUCACAACCAUUGGAAAUAGUAGAUAAGCUCAAAUCUCAUCAAAUCUUUAAUCUUCAGCUACACGUUUUCAGAAGAGCCAUUUCUUUUACUCUAAUCUGGUUCUCUUUGCUUUUUCCUCUCCACUGCUCUUCGAACACUCUCUGGGAUGCUGCCCUCCAGAGCCUCCGCCGCAAACGGUGAUGCAACGUCGACAUGGAGUACCGAUUUGUAAGCCAAUAUUUCCCCAUCCAUCGCUUGGACUAUUAACCCCGUAGCUGAUCUGAAAGACUGCUGGUCAAAAGCUGCAUCAAAAUAAAUAACUGGGCACGUUCUCUGAUCAACCUGUUAAAGAACUCUAUCAGAAUCUAAGCUAAGUUUUUUCUCUACUCCUUACAACUCUGAAACGUAGCUAACUAUUUGAUUGGAAAUUUCAGUGCUUGUUGUGUUUCUAUUUUCAUAAAGGAGUUUAUUUCGACUUGUCCAGAUAAUCCAUAACCCACGGCAGAAACGACGACACUGUUCACUUGUCCCCUUGUUGAAAACCCAGGGCACUACCAGAAAAUGUGGAAACUGUCUUCUUCAGUAAGACGACACCUGGGACAAUGAGUUUCAACGACUACUCGUUUAGUUUUAAGAUUCGCAAAAGUAGGAAUAUAGUUCCAGGCAACUUUCCAAACUGUAAUUUUGAUCUUUGAAGGAAUAUGUAGAUUCCAUAAUUUCCUGUAAAAUUUUUUAUUCUCGGCCCCUAAAUUAUAACUACUAGGAUCCAGUGUAGUCUGUUGUAAUAGUUUGUAGGCGCUCCUAAUAGAGAAAAUUCCAGAUGGUUCCCCCCAUAAUUGGAAAUCGUCGUGCUCUGUCCUUGUCAAAGGGAUCUGCUUGAUUUUUUUUAACAAUAUCUGCAUUGAGUAAGCUGGAAUAGAUUGAAGGACUGCCUUAAUAAAAACCUCCUUUCCUCCCUGCGAAAGAUGUUUUAUACUCCAA